RNAcentral lists this ribosomal RNA (253 nucleotides) under uncultured bacterium. RNAcentral's name for it is "partial 16S ribosomal RNA". It matches the Rfam family "Bacterial small subunit ribosomal RNA", at positions 524 to 776 of the family's 1533-position model. The record is from RNAcentral.
UACGGAAGGGGCAAGCGUUGUUCGGAAUCAUUGGGCGUAAAGGGCGCGUAGGUGGUUCUGUAUGUCUGCCGUGAAAGCGUACGGCUCAACCGUAUUUAGUCGGUAGAAACUGCAGGACUUGAGGCUGGGAGGGGCUGGUGGAAUUCCCUGUGUAGCGGUGAAAUGCGUAGAGAUGGGGGAGAACACUCGUGGCGAAGGCAGGUCUCUGGGCUGACACUGACGCUCAUGCACGAAAGCGUGGGGAGCAAACAGG